This is a long non-coding RNA of Balaenoptera acutorostrata (minke whale), 973 nucleotides long. RefSeq lists it as uncharacterized. NCBI's taxonomy places the organism in Eukaryota, Metazoa, Chordata, Mammalia, Artiodactyla, Balaenopteridae. The transcript has 3 exons. The record is from RefSeq and is a predicted model, not a curated record.
UCUCCCACUCGCCGCCGCACUUCCCCUUGUGUUCGGUUCCCGCUUCCUCCCACCCCUUCCUGGCUUCGGCCGCUGGCGGGCCGGGGGCCUUUCCCUUCCGGAAUGGCCGGAGGAUCCUCUAACUCUACUGCUCCCGCUCCUCCGCCUCGUCCGAUAAGAGAAAGGGUUCCCCGACCAGGGAUUGAACCGGCAUCCCCUGCGGCAUCCCCUGCGUUGCAAGACGGAUUCUUAACUACUGGACCACCUGGGAUGUACCCAUUAAGUGUAACUGUGAUUUAUCUGAUUACUUCUAAAGAAGAAUAUCAAAUUGCUUCCGGGUUGAGAGCAGUUUUUGUAGACAGAGUUUUGAAUGCCAUUACCAGAAGUCAUGUGGGUUUUUAAGGAAGCUGUGUGUUAGGAAGGUAACACUUGGUAGCACUGUGAAUGGUAGUCUGGCAUAGCAGGGGAGUAGAAAGAGUGGGACCAAGAUGCCAAGAGGCAGAACAAGUGUAGUUGGAAUGGAAUUGUUAUAUAGAAUGUUGUUGAAAUUAAAAAUAAUAAUAAUAAAAAAGGGAAGGUGGGUAUAUGUCCUGGGUAAGCUUUGCCUUGAUGAAAAUUAUUUUAAAUAUUAUAAAGAAAAUGCCCUAUGUUCUAAGAGAGAGAAGAAUUCUGAAAAUAUUUAGUAUUGUGCCCUCUUCGUUUCCCCCUCCUGACUCCCAAAAAAGUGGGGUGGGGGGAGGAGUGUUUGGCUGUCUUUUAUAAUUUUGGAGGGGGGCAAGAUUCGUAUAUGUACUGUAUGUAUAGGUAUUUAUAUCUUGCUCUGACCCAGAAAGGAUUGAGACUUUUAAGAAUGCUUUAGUCACAUUUUAAAAGUAGCACGGUAUUUGCAUUAAAGGUGGAUGACAAGGGAGAAUAAGGAUAGAGAUAUAAAACAGCAAGAAAUUAGGGUACUAAAACAGCUCUUACGGAAGGAAGUACAGUGAUUUUUGGAUUU